GCCAGGCAUGGUGGCACACGCCUGUAAUCCCAGUGGCUGGUAGGCUGAGACAGGAGGAUCGUGAGUUAAGCAACUCAGUGAUACCCUGUCUCUA
Molecule: small RNA, 94 nt
Filed under: Marmota monax (woodchuck)
Lineage: Eukaryota; Metazoa; Chordata; Mammalia; Rodentia; Sciuridae
Source: RNAcentral